Molecule: ribosomal RNA, 301 nt
Filed under: uncultured bacterium
Lineage: Bacteria
Description: partial 16S ribosomal RNA
Rfam family: Bacterial small subunit ribosomal RNA
Source: RNAcentral
CAGUAGCCGCGGUAAUACGUAGGGGGCGAGCGUUGUCCGAAGUUACUGGGCGUAAAGAGCGCGUAGGCUGGUCUUUAAGUGAGUGGUGAAAGGUUCGGGCUCAACCCGGACACUGCCUUUCGUACUGGGGACCUUGAGUGUGGGAGAGGCGAGUGGAAUGGUCGGUGUAGCGGUGAAAUGCGUAGAUAUCGAUCGGAACACCCAUGGCGAAGGCAGCUCGCUGGCCUAACACUGACGCUGAGGCGCGAAAGCGGGGGGAGCAAACAGGAUUAGAUACCCCUGUAGUCCCUGUCUCUUAUAU